Molecule: ribosomal RNA, 273 nt
Filed under: uncultured bacterium
Lineage: Bacteria
Description: partial 16S ribosomal RNA
Rfam family: Bacterial small subunit ribosomal RNA
Source: RNAcentral
GUCCACGCUGUAAACGAUGAUCACUGGACGUCGGCCUUGUUUAACAAGGUCGGUGUCGAAGCUAACGCGUUAAGUGAUCCGCCUGGGAAGUACGGUCGCAAGACUAAAAACUCAAAGGAAUUGACGGGGGUCCGCACAAGCGGUGGAACAUGUGGUUUAAUUCGACACUACGCGAGGAACCUUACCUGGGCUUGACAUACAUUGGACCGUCGUAGAAAUACGAUUUUCUUAUCGCAAGAUAAGACCGAUGAACAGGUGCUGCAUGGCUGUCGU